GCAUGACACACAAUGCACGGCACAGCCAACAAGCAACAACGAAUCCUUUGAACACACCUUCUCCAUGCGCAUCUAGGAAGGAGGCUGAGUGCUCAGCGGCACUGUGCUAUUAUUAAUCAGAAAAUUUGAAGGUGCUUUUUGAGAAUUAACUCCAGAGCUGCAGAGCUACACAUCAUUAUCAGUACACCAGCUUAUAUUUUGUUCAGCUUCACAAUUUACCGUAAACAGCUUGCAGGGGGGACAAUCUUCAUUGUUCACGGAGAAGCAAAUAUGACCGAGAUCAGAGUUGCAAGAGCCAAGCAAUUUGUCUUUGUUCCUGAAUCCACUCUGUGCCGCCCAGGGAGAGAUAGUAACACUGACUUCUGAACAGUGCUUUUCUCGGAUCCCCUCCGAGCAGUCUGAGGGCGAUGGAUCAGGGGUGCUGUGGGGGCUGAAACCUGCACUUGGCAGGAUGUCUGUGCAGUCGUGACAGCCUGGUGGAAAGCCUGGGAGCGUGGGGCAUCCUAAUCGUCCUGAGAACUCCGGGAGGAGGAUGCGCCGCCGUGUUCUACGCCGUCGGGACAGAGCUGGGACAUGCAGGCUGCGGGGAAUGAGCACACAGCAAAACACCAUGCGGCGCUGCCCAGGUCUGUACUUCUCAUCCAGGCAGGGCUCGUCCCCCUGGGCAAGUUGGGCUCGUCCCCCUGGGCAACUGUCUGGGGGCAGUUUGGAUUGUCACAGCUGGGGAGGGGUGAGAAGGGUGCUGCUGGCAUCCGUGAAUGAACGGAGACUGGGGAUGCUUCUAGGCACCCUGCAACGUACAGGGCAGCCCCUGCCACAGAGAAUUGCUGGGCCCAGAGUGUCAACCGAGCUGAGGUUGAGGAGCCCUGGCUUAGCGGCUUCGCCUGUUAGGAACGUGUUAAUCCACUGGCCUGGGUGAAACAGAUGCCAGAAUCAGUCCCCAUUUUUCAGUUGAAGACGAUCCAAAAUAGAAACCUCAGUUAGUCUCUAGGUCACACCCUUGAGGUGAGUUUACAACCAUGGGAGCGAACCAGCAAAAAGGAGCCUCCAGGUCAUACCCUCUGUGAGUGCGACAACCAUGGGAGCAAACCAGGAAAAAGGAGCCUCCAGGUCACAGCCUCGGUGAGUGUUACAACCAUGGGAGCCAACCAGCAAAAAGGAGACUCCAGGUCACACCCUUGGUGAGUGUGACAACCAUGGGAGUGAACCAGGAAAAAGGAGCCUCCAGGUCACACCCUUGGUGAGUGUUACAAUCAUGGGAGCAAACCAGCGAAAAGGAGAGUCCAGGUCACACCCUUGGUGAGUGUGACAACCAUGGGAGUGAACCAGCAUAAAGGAGCCUCCAGGUCACACCCUUGGUGAGUGUUACAAUCAUGGGAGCAAACCAGCAAAAAGGAGAGUCCAGGUCACACCCUUGGUGAGUGUGACAACCAUGGGAGUGAACCAGGAAAAAGGAGCCUCCAGGUCACACCCUUGGUGAGUGUUACAAUCAUGGGAGCGAAGCAGCACAAAGGAGCCUCCAGGUCACACCCUUGGUGAGUGUGACAACCAUGGGAGUGAACCAGCAAAAAGGAGCCUCCAGGUCACACCCUUGGUGAGUGUUACAAUCAUGGGUACGAACCAGGAAAAAGGAGCUUCCAGGUCACACCCUUGGUGAGUGUGACAACCAUGGGAGUAAACCAGCAAAAAGGAGCCUCCAGGUCACACCCUUGGUGAGUGUGACAACCACGGGAGUGAAUCAGCAAAAAGGAGCCUCCAGGUCACACCCUUGGUGAGUGUGACAACCAGGGGAGUGAACCAGCAAAAAGGAGCCUCCAGGUCACACCCUUGGUGAGUGUGACAACCAGGGGAGUGAAGCAGCUAAUAGGAGCCUCCAGGUCACACCCUUGGUGAGGGUUACAACCAUGGGAGCGAACCAGCAAAAAGGAGCCAAGACAGGCGGGCGGGGCAUCCAGGAAGGCCCCAGAAGCUACCGCACUGACAGGAUAUCAGUCACGUGAUUGUAGCCCAAGCAGAAUAAUCAUCUCAGAUGAGUGACGGCCGUCAACCCAGGGAGGUUCAAGGAGAAUUUGUCCUGGACCCUGACGGGACCAACAUUUUAUCAAUAACCUGGGCAAAGGUGUGGUAGCAAAGUUAAUGACAUUUUCAAAUUGAAGAAAGCAUGGAGGGAUACUUAAGAUAGGCUAUGGCCAACCAAGUAUUAAUUUGCAGGGACGAAUGUGAAGUUCUGCCUUUGGGUGCAGAGCAUGCAAGGCCUCCCUCAACAAAGCUCUCGUGGUGGAGACUUAGUCACCUCAUACAACUGCAAGACCGAAGGAGAAUUCUCUGAUUUCUCACGAAGGACGGUGAAUGGCUGUCGGUCUUUGAUGUCAGUGUUGUCUCAGGCAGCCUUCAUCACCUCUGGAUUUCUAAAGGCAGCGUCUGAUCUUUUCCCCAGUGCUGGAGGACACAGGAGGUAACUAACUGACUUUUCCAAAACCGUUUCCCCCAUCCUUAGAAUGAAGACUAAGCCACUUGAUGAGAGCAACAGCCUUUAAAUAAAUAAUGCAGUUAUGUUUUUACAUUAUUUAAUAACGUGUAUCAGCUAUCUGUAAACUGAAACUCACAAUCGGAAUGUAAAUAAAAGAAUGUGACAGAAUCAUUUUUGCUGUUAGUUUGUACGUUUUUCUCCCCAUAGUUCUCCCCUUUUCUGUUUCCGGCUCCAGCGCACAGCCAGGCGUCAUGCUGGUUUGCCUAAGAGGACAUCUGUGGCAGGCUGGUUAGCUGCCCUUCCUGGCUUUCACUUUCCAAAAGUCUAAGACAAAUGAGGGCUCAUCAUGGGUGUGCAUGCACAGGGGAGUAACUAGAAAGUGAUCAGGGUCCAGAAAGCAAAGCAGAUCCUUCAGGGGAAACAAAAGCACCUGUGGGCCAUCAGAGACAAGAACAUGCUCAAUGACAGCAGCCAGCCUUGCUAGAGACAGGUCCCAGGCAAGGUCCAGGAGAGCAGCGCCAGCAGCCAGCAUGCCAGGAGCAUCCAGCAAGAGCUGACAUUGAUGACCAAAGGAGCAUUCCCCACUCCUUGACAUGGUGUUGGAGCAGAGGCCCCUUGGAGAACCCUGAGAAGUUCCAAUUUCAUUUAAGAAAAUAGAAAUCUGUAACUAGAAAGAGAGCAAGAUGGGUUGCAGAUGGGGCAGAAGCCAUGGCAGGGCUCAGCCAUACCUGUCUGUCAUGCUUUAUGUGAAAAGAAGGGGAAGACCCAAGGGAAUGCAGAGGGACAUUCAGAUUUAAUGAACAGGACUCCUAUUCUCCUGGAAAUAUGGUGGCAGCUUAGUUUUGAAUCUUCAAAGCUCGCCUCAUAGAAACCACAGAGACCAACAUUGCAGAAGAGAAGAAGCAGACUGGAAGUGUGAUUUCAGCAAGCCACCGUGGCACUUCCUACCCCACAGGAAAGUCCUACUUCCAAUCCAGGAAAAUCCACCUCUUUCAAAUAUAGAUUUAAAAACUAGAAAGUACACAGCAUCUUUCCUAAGACAUUAUAAGACAAAAAGAUGAAUAAAGCAGCAUUUUUCUACAAGUAAUAAAAACUCGCUAUAAAAAAUAAAACAAAGUAGAUGAGAAUGGUAACCCAAUAUUCCUACAUGAAUUUUCAAAAAUUAUUGAUACAAAGCAAGGAGUGAAGUAAAAGAUAAGCAGAAAUUUGCAAAUUCAGGAAAGAGAUCGUGAGACAAUAGGAAUUAUGCCAGAGAGAGUGGUAGAAUUACAGAAAGAAAAAUAAUAAGAAUCAACAUCAUGAAACUGACCAUAUUGCCCAAAGCAAUUUACAAAAUCAGUGCAAUUCCUAUCGAAAUUCAAACAUCAUUUCUCACAGAAUUAGACAAAACAAUCUUAAAAUGUAUGUAGAACUGACAAAGAGCACAAAUAGCCAAAGCAAUCGUAAGCAAAAAGAACAAAUCUGGAGGUAUCACAUUAUCAGACUUCAAAUUAUACUACAAAGCCAUAGUUAUCCAAACAGCAUGAUGCCAGUGUAAGAGCAGACACAUAGACCAAUGGAACAGAAUAUAGAAGGUAGAAAUAAAACCAAAUACCUACAACCAACUGAUCUUUGACAAAGCAUACAAAAAUACAAAUUGAGAAAAUGACACUCUAUUCUGUGUGUUCUGAUUGCUCCCCCGAUUGGCAAUUCCCCAAUCUCUCUUCCUCUCCUGAGGCCUCUUCAUUCCCUGAGACACAACAAUAUUGAAAUUAGGCCAUGUAAUAACCUUGCAAUGGCCCCUAAGUGCUCAAGUGACAGGAAGAGUCACACGUAUCUCACUUUCAAUCAAAAGCUAGAAAUGAUUAAGCUUAAUGAGGAAGACAUGGUGAAAGCUGAGAUAGAUUGAAAGCUGGGCCUCUUGUGCCAGUUAGUCAAAUUGUGAAUAAAAAGGAAAAGUUCUUGAAGGAAAUUAAAAGUGCUAUACUGGCCAGGUGCAGUGGCUCACACCUGUAAUUCCAGCACUUUGGGAGGCUGAGGUGGGUGGUCCCAAGGUCAAGAGAUCAAGACCAUCCUGGCCAACAUGAUGAAACCCAUCUCUACUAAAAAUACAAAAAUUAGCUGGGAAUGGUGACUUUACUUUGCAGGUGAUACCCAUUUACCAUUCUGAAAAUCCCAUGGCCCUCAAGAACUAUGCUAAAUCUACUCUGCCUGUGUUCAUUAAGUGGAAGAACAAAGUUUGGAUGUUAGCACAUUUGUUGAGAGCAUGGUUUGCUGAAUAUUUUAAGCCCACUGUUUAGACCUACUACUCAGCAAAAAAGAUUCCUCUUAAAAUACUACCCCUCAUUGACAAUGCAUCUGGUCAGCCAGGAACUCUGAUGGAAAUGUACAAGGAGAAGAAGGUUAUUUUUAAUGCCUGCUUCCACAACAUUCAUUCUGCAGUCCAUAAAUCAAGGAGUAAUUUUGACUUUCAAGUUUUAUUAUUUAAGAAGUACACUUUGUAAGGCUAUAGCUGCCAUAAAUAGUGAUUCCUCUGAUGAAUCUUAGCAAAGCAAAUUGAAAACCCUCUGGAAAGGAUUCACCAUUCUAGAUGCCACUAAGAACAUUGUGAUUCAUGAGAGGAGGCCAAAAUACCAACAUUCACCUGAGUUUGGAAGAAGUGGAUUCCAACAUUCAUGGAUGACAUUGAGGGGUUCAAGUCUUCAGUGGAGGAAGUAACUGCAGAUGUGGAAUUAGAAGUAGAGCCUGAAUAUGGGACUGAAUUGAUAUAAUCUUAUGAGAAAACUUGAACAGAAGAGCAGUGACUUCUUACGGAUGAGCAAAGGGAAUAGUUUUCUGCAAUGAAAUCUUCUUCUGGUGAAGAUGCUGUAAACAUUGUGGAAAUGACAGCAAGGAACCUGGAAUAUUUCAUAAACGUAUUUGAUAAGGCAGUGGUAAGGUUUGGGGAGACUGACUCCAAGUUUGAAAGAAGUACUACUAGGGGUAAAAGGCUGUCCAUGAGCAUUGCAUGCUACAGAGGAAUGCUUUGUGAAAGGAAGAGUAAUGGAUGUGGUCAACUUCGCUGUUGUCUUAUUUUAAGAAAUUGCCACACUCACCUCAGCCUUCAGCAAUCACUACCCUGAUCAGUCAGCGGCCAUCAACAUCAAGACUCCUCACCAGCAGGAAAAUUACAAAAGGAUUCCUGACCCUUCAGAUGAUCAUUAGCAUCCUUUAGCAAUAAAGUGUUUUUUAAUUGGGGUAUGCACAUUGUUACUCUUUUUUUGGUACCUUGUUAUUGCAUACUUAAUAGACUACAGUAUCAUAUAAACAUAACUUUUUUUUUUUUUUUGAGACGGAGUUUCGCUCUUCUUGCCCAGGCUGGAGUCCAAUGGCGGGAUCUCGGCUCACCGAAACCUCUGCCUCCCAGGUUCAAGUGAUUCUCCGGCCUCAGCCUCCUGAGUAGUUGGGAUUACAGGUGUGUGCCACCAUGCCCGGCUAAUUUCUUUUGUAUUUUUGGUAGACAUGGGGUUUCACCAUGUUGGUCAGGCUGGUCUCGAACUCCUGACCUCAGGUGAUCCACCUGUCUUUGCCUCCAAAAGUGCUGGGAUUACAGGCAUGAGCCACCAUGUCUGGCCCUAAACAUAACUUGUAUAUGCACUGGGAAACCAGAUAUUUUGUGUGGCUCACUGUAUUGCCAUAUUCACUUUAUUGAGGAGGUCUAGACCCCAACCCACAAUAUCUCCAAGGCUGGCCUGUAUGGAUCUCAUUUACUCUCCAUAACAACAUGUGACAAUGGAAAAUCUCAGAACUCUCACAGAUAAGAAAACUUAGGCUCAGACAGAUAUAGGGAGAAGAGUGAAAAUCCCCAAACCACCUUCCCCGUCUUCUCCUUCCUCAGGGCUCAUCCCUAAUCGUCCAGUGCUGUGCCAUCCGGGUAUUUUUCAGUGAGUGCACAGUCAUGACUAUGCAGGAAGGCAGAGGAUUGCUCUGGGCAGGAGGCCUGAUCCACCCCCAGAAAUGGUAGCCAGGCCCCUUGGGGUGGCUUCCUGCAGCAACCUUGUCACCAUGGUAACCAGAAACUGGUCUGAUCAGUCCUAGUAGCAGCAGAGUAGGAAGACGGCUGGAGAUCAUCAGAAGAAACCCAAAAUGUCACAGACCCAGAAAUGGAAGCCAGGAAAGGUGUGAUUAUCCUUAUCACAGUUAACGAUGAUCCUCAGGGCUCGCCACCAGGAUCAAACUAGCCACCAUUGCCUGAGCUCUGCAGGCAGCUGAUCUGCAGCGCUG
Long non-coding RNA from Callithrix jacchus (white-tufted-ear marmoset), 6712 nucleotides. RefSeq lists it as uncharacterized. The record is from RefSeq and is a predicted model, not a curated record. Lineage: Eukaryota; Metazoa; Chordata; Mammalia; Primates; Cebidae.